UGAAUACGAGACGCUAAGGCGUCGAAGUAGUGUAUGUCAUACUUCCAAGAAAAGCUUGCACUGUCAUUAAUAAAAAAUGCCUGUACCAUAACCGACACAGGUGGGUAGGUAGAGUAUACUAAGGGGCGCGAGAUAACUCUCUCUAAGGAACUCGGCAAAAUAACUCCGUAACUUCGGGAGAAGGAGUGCCUUAUUCUUAAGGUUGCAAUAACAAGAUCCAAGCAACUGUUUAUCAAAAACACAGGUCUCCGCUAAGUCGCAAGACGAUGUAUGGGGGCUGACGCCUGCCCAGUGCCAGAAGGUUAAAGAAGUUGGUUAGCUUUUGCGAAGCUGAUAACUGAAGCCCUGGUGAACGGCGGCCGUAACUAUAACGGUCCUAAGGUAGCGAAAUUCCUUGUCGGGUAAGUUCCGACCCGCACGAAAGGCGUAAUGAUUUGGAUACUGUCUCGGAGAGGGGCUCGGUGAAAUAGACUUGUCUGUGAAGAUGCGGACUACCUGCACCAGGACAGAAAGACCCUAUGAAGCUUUACUGUAACUUGAAAUUGAAAUUGGACUUUAUUCGCGCAGUAUAGGUGGGAGGCGUUGAUUGUAAUCUUGCGGGAUUAUUGGAGCCAUCAGUGAGAUACCACUCUUGUAAUGUUAGAUUUCUAACUUUGUAUCAUUAUCUGGUCAAAGAACAGUUUCAGGCGGGCAGUUUGACUGGGGCGGUCGCCUCCUAAACGGUAACGGAGGCGUACAAAGGUUUCCUCUGAACGGUUAGAAAUCGUAUCUAGAGUGUAAAGGCAUAAGGAAGCUUGACUGUGAGACCUACAAGUCGAGCAGGGACGAAAGUCGGUCUUAGUGAUCUGACGGUACUGAGUGGAAAGGCCGUCACUCAACGGAUAAAAGUUACUCUAAGGAUAACAGGCUGAUCUCCCCCAAGAGUUCACAUCGACGGGGGGGUUUGGCACCUCGAUGUCGGCUCAUCGCAUCCUGGGGCGGUAGUACGUCCCAAGGGUUGGGCUGUUCGCCCAUGAAAGCGGUACGCGAGCUGGGUUCAGAACGUCGUGAGACAGUUCGGUCCAUAUCCGGUGUAGGCGUUAGAAUAUUGAGAGGAGCCUUCUUUAGUACGAGAGGACCGAGAAGGACAUACCUCUGGUGUACCAGUUAUCGUGCCAACGGUAAACGCUGGGUAGCUAUGUAUGGAGUGGAUAACCGCUGAAAGCAUCUAAGUGGGAAGCCCACCUCAAGAUAAG
Molecule: ribosomal RNA, 1235 nt
Filed under: metagenome
Description: bacterial LSU rRNA
Rfam family: Bacterial large subunit ribosomal RNA
Source: RNAcentral